GACGAACCGUGCGAACGUUAUUCGGAAUCACUGGGCUUAAAGCGCGUGUAGGCGGGUCGGCACGUCGGUCGCUGAAAUCCCCCGGCUCAACCGGGAAGGGGCGCCGAUACGGCCGGCCUGGAGGGACGUAGGGGGGGGCUGGAACUUCCGGUGGAGCGGUGAAAUGCGUUGAGAUCGGAAGGAACGCCCGUGGCGAAAGCGAGCCCCUGGACGUCUACUGACGCUGAGACGCGAAAGCCAGGGGAGCGAACGGG
Molecule: ribosomal RNA, 254 nt
Filed under: uncultured bacterium
Lineage: Bacteria
Description: partial 16S ribosomal RNA
Rfam family: Bacterial small subunit ribosomal RNA
Source: RNAcentral